UACGUAGGGCGCAAGCGUUGUCCGGAAUUAUUGGGCGUAAAGAGCUCGUAGGUGGCUUGUCACGUCGGGUGUGAAAGCUUGGGGCUUAACUCCAGGUCUGCAUUCGAUACGGGCUGGCUAGAGGUAGGUAGGGGAGAACGGAAUUCCUGGUGUAGCGGUGAAAUGCGCAGAUAUCAGGAGGAACACCGGUGGCGAAGGCGGCAUCCUGGACCAAAUCUGACGCUGAGGAGCGAAAGCCAGGGGAGCAAACGGG
This 253-nucleotide ribosomal RNA is filed under the name uncultured bacterium. RNAcentral describes it as "partial 16S ribosomal RNA". It matches the Rfam family "Bacterial small subunit ribosomal RNA", at positions 524 to 776 of the family's 1533-position model. The record is from RNAcentral.